Molecule: non-coding RNA, 424 nt
Organism: Gasterosteus aculeatus aculeatus (three-spined stickleback)
Lineage: Eukaryota; Metazoa; Chordata; Actinopteri; Perciformes; Gasterosteidae
Source: RefSeq, a predicted model, not a curated record
UAAUGAGUAAGUGGAUUUGUUGCUGGAUAUAAAGAGACGUGACCUACAGACAUUCACAACCUGUGGAUCUCACACUGAUCUAUUGCCACAUUUUGAUAACAGCUUAUUUACUUGUUUCUGAGGAGAAAAUGAAGUGCAUCACUGUCUUUCUUGUGCUGUCGCUGGUCAUUCUCAUGGCUGAACCCGGGGAGUGUUUUUUCCAUCACAUUAUUGGAGGACUUUUUAGCAUCGGGCAUCACAUCCAUAGACUUAUUAGCGGAGCGCGUCAAGAAGCGAUGAUGGAGCAGCAGGAGCUGGAACGUACUUUCGACCGAGAGCAAGCUUUUAACUGAGUCUAUGCUGAGACAUCUUAAAGAGCUACCUUGUCUAAAGAGAAAUGCUUCUUCCUCUUUAUCAUGACAUUUCAAUAAAUAUGCAACAUUUA